UACGUAGGGUGCAAGCGUUGUCCGGAAUUAUUGGGCGUAAAGAGCUCGUAGGCGGUCUGUCGCGUCUGCUGUGAAAACUCAGGGCUUAACCCUGAGCUUGCAGUGGGUACGGGCAGACUAGAGUGCGGUAGGGGAGACUGGAAUUCCUGGUGUAGCGGUGAAAUGCGCAGAUAUCAGGAGGAACACCGGUGGCGAAGGCGGGUCUCUGGGCCGUAACUGACGCUGGAGGAAGCGAAAGCAUGGGGAGCGAACAGG
This 255-nucleotide ribosomal RNA is filed under the name uncultured bacterium. Its description in RNAcentral is "partial 16S ribosomal RNA". It matches the Rfam family "Bacterial small subunit ribosomal RNA", at positions 524 to 776 of the family's 1533-position model. The record is from RNAcentral.